AAUUCCCGAACUCAACAACCUCAUCUCUUCAUCUCUGAUAGUAUGAUUUUUCUCAAUUAAUCCCUAAAACACUAUCUUGUCGUUGUAGUAUUUUAGGAUGUCAAUCCAAUCCGGUGUGAUGCAAACAGAUGAGAUAUGAUCAAAAAACUCUAAGUCAAGCCAAGCAGAAAGUUGGUUGGUUCUAACAGUCCUAGUAUGCAAUAACAGAAAUGAAAUGAAACUAAAAGCAUAAAUGGCAAUAGUAGGCAAGUGAAUGACAAAGCAGAAAUGAUAACAUGCAAUCAAAUGGAUAAACGAUUCCUAAGGAUGGGGUAAUCGAAUAGUGUGGUCUACUUAAUCUAUUCAGGCGGUUGACAAAACUUCACAGAAGCUAUCCCUAGACAACAAGUUCAACAACAGAUUAAUUCACUCCCGUGAUAGAAAUCCUCAAGCAAAGCUAGACACUGACGUAAAUCCCUUUAGCGAUCUCUAACUAAGCAGGCAUUAUCGAAUCAACAUGUUAAAGUCAAUACCCUCUCUACAGCCAAUCCCUUGGGGUAGAGUCAGAUAUCUCUGGAAUUAAUAGGAUCCAACGCCCAUUAAACGCCUUCUGAGCGCUGGACGUCUGGACUCAUACUCCACAUUAGCUAGUGAAACAAGCAAUAAGCGCAACUAAUCCAAAAGGGAUUCUAGUAUUCUAAACUCAACCACCUAAAAC
This 697-nucleotide small RNA is filed under the name Arabidopsis thaliana (thale cress). Its description in RNAcentral is "ATSL036030". The record is from RNAcentral. Lineage: Eukaryota; Viridiplantae; Streptophyta; Magnoliopsida; Brassicales; Brassicaceae.